UCCUGCACUCUUAAUUUCCUCCUUUCUGUUAUACGUUGUAUGCUAAAAUGGCGUAAAGGCCUCUAACCUCCUCUAUGGUGAUUUUUCAUUCUGGGCCAUUUUGUCUACUUUUUGUGAGUGCGGUAGCUGCGUCCCCGGAGAAAAAAAAGUGUGUCCACCGGGGAGGGGAGUCAAUAGAAAAAAGGUGAUAUCUGCUACCCCUCCUAGAUGUCAACACCAGAUAGCGUUUAAACAACAGGACAGUGAAGGCCCAGUCAAAACAAGACUACAACCAUUUUAAAGCUGUAAAUUCACGUGGACUAACACUGCAGCUUGCCACCAAAGAAGAC
Esox lucius (northern pike) is the source of this 329-nucleotide long non-coding RNA. RefSeq lists it as uncharacterized. The record is from RefSeq and is a predicted model, not a curated record. The transcript has 3 exons. Lineage: Eukaryota; Metazoa; Chordata; Actinopteri; Esociformes; Esocidae.